GAUGAAGAACGCAGCGAAAUGCGAUAAGUAAUGUGAAUUGCAGAAUUCAGUGAAUCAUCGAAUCUUUGAACGCACAUUGCGCCCGCCAGUAUUCUGGCGGGCAUGCCUGUUCGAGCGUCAUUACAACCCUCAGGCCCCCGGGCCUGGCGUUGGGGAUCGGCGGAGCCCCCCGUGGGCACACGCCGUCCCCCAAAUGCAGUGGCGGUCCCGCCGCAGCUUCCAUCGCGUAGUAGCUAACACCUCGCGACUGGAGGGCGGCGCGGCCACGCCGUAAAACACCCAACUCUUCUGAAGUUGACCUCGAAUCAGGUAGGAAUACCCGCUGAACUUAAGCAUAUCAAUAAGCGGAGGA
Molecule: unclassified non-coding RNA, 352 nt
Filed under: soil metagenome
Description: partial contains 5.8S ribosomal RNA, internal transcribed spacer 2, and large subunit ribosomal RNA
Rfam family: 5.8S ribosomal RNA (bases 1-120)
Source: RNAcentral